RNAcentral lists this ribosomal RNA (255 nucleotides) under uncultured bacterium. RNAcentral's name for it is "partial 16S ribosomal RNA". It matches the Rfam family "Bacterial small subunit ribosomal RNA", at positions 524 to 776 of the family's 1533-position model. The record is from RNAcentral.
UACAGGAGGUCCCGAGCGUUGUUUCGGAUUCAUUGGGCGUAAAGGGUGCGUAGGCGGCUUUCUAAGUCUGAUGUGAAAUCCCGGGGCUCAACCGUGGAACUGCCUUAGAUACUGUCGGCCUCGAGGAAGGUAGGGGCAUGCGGAACUGUAGGUGGAGCGGUGAAAUGCGUUGAUAUCUACAGGAACUCCGGUGGCGAAAGCGGCGUGCUGGACCUUUUCUGACGCUGAGGCGCGAAAGCUAGGGGAGCAAACGGG